CAAAGUCCAGAACUGAAAAGGGUUAUACAGUCUAAUGAUUUUUUUGAUGAGGCCUCAAAAGCUGUUCGAUCUCCAUUCAUGAUAAAAGACCAUUGUAAAUCCAAGCUUAACAUGACGGAAUCUGUCCAUUUUAAGUUAAGGGACUCUCUAGGUCACUCAGUGGGCUCCUAUUCAUAUGUACCCAUUGAUAAAGUGCUAAAAAAUUACUGUUCUCUUGAGGAUAUUUGGGAUCAAAUUCUGAAUCGGAAUAAUCCAGAGAGAGACAGCGAAUUUUUAAGAGACUACUGUGAUGGAGAAAUUUUCAAACAACACAUGUUUUUUAAAGAUCACCCAACUUCACUGCGGCUGCAUUUCUAUGAAGAUGAAUUCGAAGUAGUUAACCCAUUGAGGUCAAAAAGAACCAAGCACAAGCUAUGCGCAUUCUAUUAUACUGUAGGCAAUUUGGAUGGCAAGUAUAGAUCACAGCAGAGACAUAUUCAUUUAGCAUUGUUGGUGCGUUAUUCAUAUGUUAAACAGUGUGGUUUGGAUGUCAUCUUAAAACCUUUGCUAAAUGAUCUUAAAAAACUGGCAACUGAUGGUUUUACAGUAACUGUUGAUGAAACUGAACACACAUUUCAUGCUGCUCUUGCAACUUUAUCUGGUGCUAACUUGUCAGCUCACAUGAUCGGUGGAUUUACCAUGUCAUUUAACUCUGGUAGCAUUUGUCGUUAUUGCAUGGCUUCUUAUGGAGAUAUAAAACUAAUGUUUGAGGAAGACAGCUUUGUUUUAAGAACAUCUGAGGUUCAUCAGUGUCAUCUUGCCCGCAUUCAACAAAUUCCUGAUGACAAAGUGACUUAUGGUGUGAAUGGUCCUUCACCUUUUGAAGAGUUACCAUAUUUUGAAGUGACAAAAGCUUUACCACCGGACAUAAUGCACGAUUUGUUAGAGGGUGUAAUUCCACUUGUUAUGAAGCUAGUUAUUGGCAAAGCUCAUACAGAGAAACAUAUAAUUAUAAGAGAAAUAAAUGAAGAACUACAAAAACUGUGCAUUGGUCAAAAUGACACGGUAAACAAACCAGUACAGUUAUCAAAAAGACUGCAGCAUGUUGGGAUUACUGGAUCUGCUUCUCAAAAGUGGUGCCUUUUCAGACUUUUACCUUUUUAUUACUCCAAAGUGUCAUUACUUAAUUCAUUAUUCAAGACUGAUACAAAUGUAUGGGCCCCUGCGUUUGCUAUGGUGCAUGAGAUUUGAGGCCAAGCACCAAUAUUUUAAAAUAGUUGCCCAUAACUGCAGAAAUUUUGUAAACAUUGCUACAACACUGAGCAACAGACACCAGUUCAGACAGUGCUGGGAGUUUUGUGGGAGUAUGCUGGGUGAAUUUGAGAAAGUCCUGGGAAAAAGUGUGACCACUCCAUUUUUAUCUUUACCUGUGGAGCUACAGAGAGCCCUGA
This 1430-nucleotide long non-coding RNA is filed under the name Sinocyclocheilus grahami. Its description in RNAcentral is "lncRNA (ENSSGRG00000039678.1)". Lineage: Eukaryota; Metazoa; Chordata; Actinopteri; Cypriniformes; Cyprinidae. The record is from RNAcentral.